RNAcentral lists this ribosomal RNA (332 nucleotides) under uncultured bacterium. RNAcentral describes it as "bacterial SSU rRNA". It matches the Rfam family "Bacterial small subunit ribosomal RNA", at positions 568 to 898 of the family's 1533-position model. The record is from RNAcentral.
CGCGUAGGUGGUCCUUCAAGUCAGAUGUUAAAUCUCCUGGCUUAACUGGGAGUGGUCAUUUGAUACUGCUGGACUUGAGGGCGGUAGAGGGAGGUGGAAUUCCCGGUGUAGUGGUGAAAUGCGUAGAUAUCGGGAGGAACACCAGUGGCGAAAGCGGCCUCCUAGGCCGUUCCUGACACUGAGGCGCGAAAGCGUGGGGAGCGAACAGGAUCAGAUACCCUGGUAGUCCACGCCCUAAACUGUGGAAACUAGGUACAGGGAGUAUCGACCCUUCCCGCGCCGUAGCUAACGCGUUAAGUUUCCCGCCUGGGGACUACGGUCGCAAGACUAAA